This 547-nucleotide unclassified non-coding RNA is filed under the name Homo sapiens (human). Its description in RNAcentral is "protein tyrosine phosphatase 4A3 (ENSG00000275575.4)". The record is from RNAcentral. Lineage: Eukaryota; Metazoa; Chordata; Mammalia; Primates; Hominidae.
CGCGGCGGAGGGGCGGCGCCCCGACCCAGGCCCAGCACCGUGGGCACCGCCAGGCCGGCGCGUAUGGAGGCGGUGGGACGCCUGCGGCGCGGGGCGCUGCGUGUUGUUCCUGCCUCCUAGAUUUGAGCCAGAGAGAACCCAGUUAACUGGACGCCUGAUGCUGUGUGCUGUGGACCCACCUGGGGUUCAUGGAGUGGGCCACGGGGCCCAGCCCUAAGCACUGCUGCGCCCAGGGUCGCCGCGCCUCCUGCUGAGGGGUCCCCGUGCCACUGGCUCUCACCAUUGCCCUCGCCUGCCGAUGGCCUCUGCUGCCCAGCCUGGGGCCAGCUCUACCGCCUGAGCCCCCUGCCCCACUCCAGGACUCACCGUACCCCGAUGGGGUAACGUGACACAGGCCCCACACGUCAGAGGCCGCUGUCCCCACGGCCACUGCCCGUGACCCCUGGCCCAAGGCAGCUGGAGUUGGUUCAGUUCAAGUUCAUUCUUCCUCUGGCCCUUGGGGGCUUGGGGCCCACCUCUGAGUGAAGGGGGCUGUCUGCCCAUCCAC